GGUUUGGUGGUCUAGUAGUAUGAUUCACCCUUAGGGCAAGUAACUAAGCAUGGGUGAGGUCCCGGGUUCAAUUCCCGGCCAGACCC
Molecule: non-coding RNA, 86 nt
Organism: Puccinia sorghi
Lineage: Eukaryota; Fungi; Basidiomycota; Pucciniomycetes; Pucciniales; Pucciniaceae
Source: the annotation of a GenBank genome assembly